This is a long non-coding RNA of Pongo pygmaeus (Bornean orangutan), 643 nucleotides long. RefSeq lists it as uncharacterized. The record is from RefSeq and is a predicted model, not a curated record. Lineage: Eukaryota; Metazoa; Chordata; Mammalia; Primates; Hominidae. The transcript is spliced from 3 exons.
GCCCCCAGGAUCCAGGCUGGGCGGCGGGAAGGAGCUGAGGAGAGCCGCGCAAUGGAAACCUGGGUGCAGGGACUGUGGGGCUGGAAGGCGGGGCUGGGCGCGCUCUCGCAGAGCCCCCGCCUUGCCCUUCCUUCCCUCCUUCGUCCCCUCCUCACACCCCAACCGGAAGGCCACAACGACGGCGACCGCAAAGCACCACGCGGAGAUACCCGUGUUUCUGGAGGCCAGCUUUACUGUGCUAGAGGAAGAGGGUCCCCACAUCCGGACCUCGCCCUCCUGGCCCGGUUUGCUGAAGCAACGCACUUGGCCUACCCACUGGGUGGGGCAGGAAGUCUCGAGCCUUCCCUUGGGGCCCUGACCCGGAACUGUGGCCCAUGGGCAGAGAUAGUCCCUCACCUUGUGGAAGAACACCGUCUCCAAGAGGUUGAUGAUGGAGGCCUCAUGGUGCACCUGUCAGACAAAGAGAAGGACAGGGCCUGAGGAAGGGACAGGGGCUACCAGCUCUCCUCCCUGGUCCAGAGCCCUCUGAAGGAGUGGGAAGAGCUCCUGAAUGGGCUCGCCCUGGCUGACUGUGGCAUCGAGGAUGGCUUGCAUGUUCAGCUUCUCCAGGUUCUCAUGCUGCUGGUUCCACCUGCCUCAGAGG